UGCCCUCACCAGAGAGGACCUUUGCUCCCUUAAAUGCUCCAGGCAGACGGGCAGCUCAGAGCACAGAGGCGCUGCCUCUUGCAGGCCCCAUCUCAGACUUGGAGCCUGUCCAAGUCCCCUCCCAGGACUACAGACCCCAGAGCGCCUCACCACCUCCUCCUGCAAUGGAACCUGGGAGGACCGCCAGCCAGGUUGGCUCAAGCUGAGAGACCCCUGCAGAGUAGGGCUGUAGCCCCCUGGUCCCAUGGUAGAUAGCGUAAGACCCUGCAGACAUCAGAGGUCAUGGCUGAAGGUGCCAGAUUUCCUGCCCUGCAGGGCAUUAGGCAUGGCUGCCAGUCCCAGGCUGAGGUAGAGGGCCCAGCUGUCACCUGGCUGGAGAGCCAGGGCCCAGCUUAUCCCAGCUGCACGGACUGGGGACGGAGCGAGUCAUCUACAGGACUAGCUGGAGGCUGUGUGACUCUCUGGA
This 466-nucleotide long non-coding RNA is filed under the name Homo sapiens (human). Its description in RNAcentral is "non-protein coding lnc-AHNAK2-4:1". The record is from RNAcentral. Lineage: Eukaryota; Metazoa; Chordata; Mammalia; Primates; Hominidae.